CUGCAUCUUCAGCUAUUUCUUGCCUUUUCCACAAAACAGAAGGCUUCGAGCUUUCCCAGCUUCUCCAGCCUGCCUCACGAAACGCAGCUUCUGCUCCCCACAGCUCCUGCCCUGAUUGUGAGUCUAAAAACAGGUAGGUAGCAUAUGAUGAUAAUGGUGGAGAGGAGCCAGAGAACCAUGGAGACAACACAGAAAGAAACCAUAUUGCUCUCCACAAAACAGCCCA
Eptesicus fuscus (big brown bat) is the source of this 226-nucleotide long non-coding RNA. RefSeq lists it as uncharacterized. Lineage: Eukaryota; Metazoa; Chordata; Mammalia; Chiroptera; Vespertilionidae. The transcript is spliced from 3 exons. The record is from RefSeq and is a predicted model, not a curated record.